Molecule: ribosomal RNA, 496 nt
Filed under: uncultured bacterium
Lineage: Bacteria
Description: partial 16S ribosomal RNA
Rfam family: Bacterial small subunit ribosomal RNA
Source: RNAcentral
GAUGAACGCUGGCGGCGUGCCUAAUACAUGCAAGUCGAGCGAACAGACGAGGAGCUUGCUCCUCUGACGUUAGCGGCGGACGGGUGAGUAACACGUGGAUAACCUACCUAUAAGACUGGGAUAACUUCGGGAAACCGGAGCUAAUACCGGAUAAUAUAUUGAACCGCAUGGUUCAAUAGUGAAAGACGGUUUUGCUGUCACUUAUAGAUGGAUCCGCGCCGCAUUAGCUAGUUGGUAAGGUAACGGCUUACCAAGGCAACGAUGCGUAGCCGACCUGAGAGGGUGAUCGGCCACACUGGAACUGAGACACAGUCCAGACUCCUACGGGAGGCAGCAGUAGGGAAUCUUCCGCAAUGGGCGAAAGCCUGACGGAGCAACGCCGCGUGAGUGAUGAAGGUCUUCGGAUCGUAAAACUCUGUUAUUAGGGAAGAACAAAUGUGUAAGUAACUAUGCACGUCUUGACGGUACCUAAUCAGAAAGCCACGGCUAACUACGU